Molecule: ribosomal RNA, 484 nt
Filed under: uncultured bacterium
Lineage: Bacteria
Description: partial 16S ribosomal RNA
Rfam family: Bacterial small subunit ribosomal RNA
Source: RNAcentral
GACGAACGCUGGCGGCGUGCUUAACACAUGCAAGUCGAACGAUGAAGCCGGAGCUUGCUCUGGUGAAUUAGUGGCGAACGGGUGAGUAACACGUGAGUAACCUGCCCUUGACUCUGGGAUAACUGCUAGAAAUGGUAGCUAAUACCGGAUACGACCCUCGGAGGCAUCUCCCGGGGGUGGAAAGAAUUUCGGUCAAGGAUGGACUCGCGGCCUAUCAGCUAGUUGGUGAGGUAAUGGCUCACCAAGGCGACGACGGGUAGCCGGCCUGAGAGGGUGACCGGCCACACUGGGACUGAGACACGGCCCAGACUCCUACGGGGGGCAGCAGUGGGGAAUAUUGCACAAUGGGCGCAAGCCUGAUGCAGCAACGCCGCGUGAGGGAUGACGGCCUUCGGGUUGUAAACCUCUUUUAGUAGGGAAGAAGCGAAAGUGACGGUACCUGCAGAAAAAGCACCGGCUAACUACGUGCCAGCAGCCGCCGUAA